Long non-coding RNA from Alexandromys fortis (reed vole), 5381 nucleotides. RefSeq lists it as uncharacterized. The record is from RefSeq and is a predicted model, not a curated record. Lineage: Eukaryota; Metazoa; Chordata; Mammalia; Rodentia; Cricetidae. The transcript is spliced from 5 exons.
UGGAAGUGGGCGUCGGUGGGAAGCGCGGCCGUGCGGGCUGCGGUCCGCCGGGGCGGGGAGAGAGGAGGGCGGAGGAGAGCCGUGGGGUCGGGUCGGGUCGCGGCUCCUCCCGGAUCGGAAGCGCCGCUCACCCCGAGGGCCUCCCUUUUUAAGGCAGAGCCGCCUCCGUGUCCCGGACGGGGCGGACGCGGCCGGCGGGAAGGGGGAAAGCAAAGGCCCCGAAGGCCUCCUAACCCGCAGCGAGGGCCCCCGGGGGAAACUGAGGACUUGCAGAGACUGGGAGGACUGGGGGAUCCCAGACGCGGCCACCCUAGCUCUGCGUGGUCAACUGGUGGCGCUCAACCACGUGGUUGCUUUUGCACGUAGCCACAAAAAUAAGUAAAACCUCACGUACCACGCAAGCUUUCAGACAAAUAAAAUGGACUCUCCAGGGGGAGCGGAAAUUUUACUGUUUACAUUUUGUUUUUGUUUUGAGACAGGAUCUCAGUAUAUCCGCAAGGCUGUCUUAAAAUUGUUAUCCUCCCGCGUUGGUCUUCUAGUGGCCGGGAUUGCAGGCCCACACUACCAAACCCUGUACUAACCUGUUUUUUUUUUUUUAAAGAUCAUUAUUUUUGUUGUUUAUUUUUUCCAGAAGGGAUUCUCUGUGUUUUCCUGGCUGUCCAGAAACUCACUCUGCACCAGGAACAGAGAUCUGUCUGUCUCGGCCACCUGAGUGCUGGGAUUAAAGACGUGCGCCAUCACUCCUGGCUAUUAUUAUUUUUAAUUAAGUAGUCUUAGGUAGCUGAAGAUCUCCUGAACUCACUAUGUAGCAAGUACUAACCUGGAACUCAGGAGCCUCCACGCCACAAAUGCUGGAAUUAAGGGGCAAACUCACGAAACAGGAACGAGGAGAAGUCCAAGCUCAGGUGUGUAGCGCGGGCACCCUGGAGCUGCAGAAAUAAUCUAGACUUGAGCCUGGGUGCUCAAUCCCUCUGAGCUCAGCAAACAGAAGAGCGAUACAGGGCUGGAGAUGGAUCACGUCACUUCUUCCCCUCUACACACCGUCUACUCCCAGAUUAUUUCUAGCCAGAAACAUCAGCCAUCUCCCGUCCCCUUGCUCCCUCCCAGGUGCCCGCCCAGAAGCUUCCGGACACUCCUCCAUCCCUAGACUUGGGAUGGCUGCCUCGGGACUCCCGGCUCUUCCAAAACCCACAGCCAGCCACAGGAGGGGGAGGGAACUCCGCCCCCACAGAGGCGGCAGGAUAGAAUAACAGGAAGUUGCCUCCCGUUCCCUCUUCAUCUGGAAUGAUAACAGCUGCUUCCAAAGUCCAGAAAACAAAAGACUCAGAAGGAAAGCUGGAAACAGAAAACCUGGAGCGACUGCGCUCAAACCAGGGGUUACACAGAGUGUGGGGGAGGGGUGGGGGCGUGGAUUUCAGCCUCUGUCUCCCCCUCCUUUCUACCAGAGCCCUACCUCUUAACUGUUCUAUACUUGCACAUCACUCUCACGCUGAAUUUUUGCAAGCUAGCCUCAGGGGCUGGAGAAACAGCUCAGCCUAAGAGCACUGGAUGCUCUAACAGAGAACCAGGGUUCAAUCUCCAGAACCACGUGUGGGCGCACAACCUUCUGUAACUCCAGUCCAGGGGGGUCCAACACCCUCUUCUGGCCUCUGCAGCCACUACACACAGGGUGCACAGACACGCACACAGGCAAGACCCCCAUACACGCAGAAUAAAAAUAAAAUAAAAAGUUGGCCUGCUAAUUAACAUGGAAGCCACUGGCCUCUGCGUAUCCUGGGAAAACAUCAGUCAGGACAUUGCACAGAAGAAAACGGGAUGGUGAGGGUCAAAGACAACCUCAUCUCUGUCACGGAUCAUCUCUGGCUUAUGGGAAUAUCCCUGUGUGACAUCAUCUGUGGCAUGGGAACGCCCCCAUGUGAUGCCUAUGGAUCCCCACUAACUCUGUAGGCCACAUGACUAUGUCCUACCUAGUCACUCCAACGCUGAGCCUCACAAACUUUGCCAGGUACUGUCAUUAUGUUGGGGAUACGACCAGAAGAGACUCUAGGGAAAGCAGAAGAAAGGGUAAAGCUGGAUCCUAUGGGAACCCUAAAUAUCACAUAACACAACUUCGUGUUGGUAGAAGCCCUUCAACGGCGGUGUUGCCCACAGGAGGAGCAGCGAAGAAGCCAGGAAAGCAGCCACCAUGAGGACCUUCAAUCCGCUGCACCAGAACCUGGUUUUCACACUUUCCUCCCCAAAAGCCCCUGCCGUGUGUCCUCCAGUAAUCCUAAACUGUCCAUGAGAUGGGUGUGCUGCUUUUUGUAAAGAUUUAUUUUAUGUAUGCGUACACCUGCUGAAGUUAGCGUUCCCUUCAGAGGCCAGAAGAGGGGAUGGGACCUCCUGAACUGGAGUUACGGACGAUCAUGAGUCACCUUGUAGGUUUCAGGAACCAGGUCUGUGUUCAGGUGGAAGUUCCAUCCCGCCCUGCAGGAGUAGCAAGUGCUCUUACCCAGAGCCCCAGGCUGUCAGUGCUGGGCUGACAUACAGAACGAAAAGGCAUAAGCAGGAUUUGAAGUGUAGGCCACUACAACACCCAGACCAACCUAGAUCCCCACUGGGCCUUCUCUCCAGCCACUGAAUAAAUGCCUGCACUUCCUACCCUGCUGUGGACAAGGUCUUUAGAAGUUCAGUAACAACCUGACCAAACUGUCCCCAGAGGAUUUUGGAGUCCCCAGCUGUGUUCAAUCACCUGGCCAACCCACAGUGCACCAGACAGUGAAAACCAUGAGUCCAAACCAAACAAAGCAAGCUUGGUUUUCGAAUUCCUUCAGGGGGAAGUGCUGUUGCUUCAUCUGCCCAUCAGCAUGGCAUUUGGUGGCAACACAGACACCAUCUCAACUGAGACACUGUUUAGCUGGUACUGUGAACAUUGUUUGUGAAUCCAGCCCCUCUGUUUCCGUAGAACCAGGUCAGCGAUACUCAAAUACUUUGUCCCAGGGUGAGUCUUAUUCUCUAGUCAUCCGUCCUCCAGAUAAAUCUGAAAACCCAGGCACAUUCAAUUUAACCAUUAUUCAUUCGCUUCUGAGUUGAAGGAGGCAUUCUUAAUUAAAAAUAAGAAUCAUGUCCUUUCACAGCCCUUGCUUAAUGAUGAGAUUCAGCAAAUUCCCUUAAGUAAUCGUACUAUAAAUUUAAUUAAAUUACUUUUAGUUUAAUAUUAGAUAGUAGUGUGCAUCUAUAAUCUCAACCACUCCAGAGACUGAGGCAGGAGGAUUGCUAAAAUCCUGGAACCUGAGUCCAACUUGGGCAACACAACAAAACCCUAUCUGAAAUGGCUGGCUAACUGGGUUAUUCUGAGGAGACCCCCUGGAUAGACCAGGAUAGACCCACCCUAGGUAAACCCCCAGCUUUUCAAUACAUAGGUGCAUUCCUGUUUCUUGUCUGAAGCAGCGAUCUCACAGCCUCCAUCCCCAGAGGGCCAAGACUUUCCCAAGCCAUCAGGCCUUUGUAGGAUUCACAGGUCACGCUCAUCUUUCUGCUUAACACAUCCUAUGCAGAGAGCUCUACAGGUCUCAGGAACAGCGGAUAGUGCUCAACGACAGAGCGUCCUCACGGCUGCCCUUAGAUUUUUCACUCGCCACAGAGUUAAGUAAAGCUCCUUGUGUUUCAUGGUUCACUGCUAAUCAAAAUGUCUCCCGCCUGACACUCCAGGACAACUCAUUGCCUGGCCCAGUGCCAUCUGUGAUUCCCACGGUGCUCACCUGUGCUCCUGGACAAUCAUUAAUUCGCUGUUUCUAAUUUAGUCUCUCCGUAUUUACCAGAAUUUGUCUACUAAGUCAGAAUUUACACUUCUGAACGACCUGUUACCUUCAAUUCAGAAACACCUAAGAAGACGGAGGGGAAAGAAUUUUUGUGAAAAGCAGAUGUAAGAUGAGAGGGGCACCCCUGGUUUGAAAACUUGCUUUCUUGGAUGGGAUCUUCCCCGCAAGUUGAGACUGCUCCCGAUCAAUAAAUCCCAGGCUGGAGAGCGAAUCUCUCAGAUCCUGUAACUCGGGGGUUCCCGCCACGUUUGCUGUCUCCUCCAGAUACUGCUUUCGGGAAAAGCCUUUCCUUGGAGGGAUGUGGAUUCUGCAGCAUAGGCUGCCAAGUGAUUAGUGCUGUGGUCUGUUAAACUAGCCAGGGGACUAAAGGAGCCGAGAGAGUGUCAUAGCUGUUACUUAAGUAUGCCUCUCUGUUACAUGCUUUAAGGCACCGUGCUUCUAAUUCACCUUGGGUCGUUCCCAGGUGCCCCUCUGUUGCUUGAACACACAAUGAGAUAUAAUGUAAUAACCACAGACAUGCCUUUCAUAUUAUAAGUCACCAUUUCUGGAGAGACAGAAAAGAAAUUAUCGCCCAUUCCUGAAUUUUAAAAAAGCGUUAAAAGUCAGCACCUGUCCUUUGGUAAAAUUCAAGUCUGCAGCCUGAGCUGUAAGGCCUACACCACUCAAAACCUUGGCCUUGGCCUUUCCAUCUAUAAAUGAGAUGUCAGGCGUGAGCAAGGCAGCGUACACUGAAGGCGUAUGAGCUAAGGGAAGCUGUGAGCCCACCUUCCUUCUAGCAGUCUGACGUGGGUCGUUAGAAAGGAUCCCUUGGGCAGCAUGCGAACAGUGUCUACAGACAUCCUGGAAAUAUAAUGACAGUAAAAAUGAUAACGGUUGUUUUUAUUUUUGAGAGAGAUAGGGUCUCACUGGGUGGAUCGGUAGACUAGGCUGACCUUGAACUCAGAGACCUACCUGCCUCUGACUCCAGAAUGGGAGUUAGGCACCGCCACACCUGCCCCCGUCAUGUUUUCCUUACCCUUCCAUCCUUUUAAGAAAUUAUUUUUACAUGUAUUUAUUUGUGUGAGCGUCAGUUCUGGAGAUGGAACUUGGGUCGCUAAGCUCGGCAGCAAGCGCCCUAAGCAGCGAGCCAUCGUCCUGUUAGGCUGCAUGUGAUUCUCAUCUGCCUCAGACAGCUGAUCUAUCAGAAAAGCAGAAGAGCAAGCAUGGGGUCUCAGAAGUCCAGACUGGAUCCACACCAACUGGCCCGGUCAAGUUUUCUCAAUGGUAGUGGGUGUGACAUCCAGACACUCGAGUAGCAGAGCGGCAGGGACAGAGACACAAAAACAAGCAUCGGACUGGCCCACAAGUAGGCGGGAGUACGCGGAGACAGAAAAGGAGAUCAAAAUACAGUGGUCAGUGACUGAAGAAAGGUCUGUGAUCCCACACAGAAUACAGGGGUGGUGGGGGCUGGAGAGAUGGCUCAGCGGUUAAGAGCAUUGCCUGCUCUUCCAAAGGUCCUGAGUUCAAUUCCCAGCAACCACAUGGUGGCUCACAACCAUCUGUAAUGGGGUCUGGUGCCCUCUUCUGACCUUCAGGCAUACA